UGAAUAGUGAAGAUACACGUUCCAAA
This 26-nucleotide non-coding RNA is filed under the name Rattus norvegicus (Norway rat). The record is from RNAcentral. Lineage: Eukaryota; Metazoa; Chordata; Mammalia; Rodentia; Muridae.